CACACGGAAAAUUUGAGUUAGUCUCAAAAUGUGUUGCGAAUAUACCUUCAUCACAACUAUUCGAUUGUUGCUCAAAACUUGUAUAUCCCCAAUUCAAUUUUGGGUAAUUUUGGGCUCCCAAUAUACAGAAUUGAACUAAAACUCAAUUACUCUACUCUGUGUAAAAAGUUUGCUGUUGUUGGAAUUUUAUUGCAAGGGAUGUGGAAGCGAAAAAGAAAAAAAAUUAAAAACUUUUUGCUAAUAGAAAAAAAAUUAAUCAAACAAUUUAUAUUGAAAUCCAUUAAAAUGAGAUAUAAACUGAAACUUUUUGAUGUAGAAUAUGUCGUAUGAGCUUCGGAAAUUGGUUCGUCAAAACAAAAAUCACAUCAGGAUGGUGGAGCUGUCUGAUUUGCAUAUGGAAAUAACCGACGGAAAAGGCGGAAAAGGAGCUACUGUUAUCUUGUUCUGCAUGGGCUACUUCCGUUGAUUAGAUAAACUGGACAAGCUGGACAGAUCGGCAUUGGAGAAAAUUUCCAUAUCAGGUUUUCUGGAAACGGUUGGAAGCUAGUCUUAGUGUCGUUGAUCAGGAACCGGUGUUGUUGAGCAGAGUGGAGAAACAAAAUUACUUUACCCGGAUCAUACUCAUUGUUCGGGAUGGUUAAUCCGACAAUCGAAACAGGUUAAAAAAUCAACCCAGAAGACCUCAUCGAAGAGGUCGCCUUCUUUAGAACCUCGGCGGAUGUGCAUCGGAUACUUCUGCCGAAACGGGAAAUUCCUUGCAAGCUUGAGAGAACGAAUGUUUUAUUUUGGUCACCUCAUCGAAACUGUUCCAACAGAUGCUUUGUACCCUCCUGACAUCCAGGUUGGUCAUAUAGGCACGAAUCAGUACCGGAUGUUGAGACGGAUGCCCUCUUAGAAGAAUUAUUGAGGUAUUGAAUUUGUUGCCAACUGCAAUGAAAAACUACAUUUCGGAACCAGGAUUGUAUUGGAUUGACAAUAAAUAUUU
Molecule: long non-coding RNA, 985 nt
Organism: Uranotaenia lowii
Lineage: Eukaryota; Metazoa; Arthropoda; Insecta; Diptera; Culicidae
Exons: 5
Source: RefSeq, a predicted model, not a curated record